CGAGGAAUAUUGCACACUGGACGCAAGUCUGAUGCAGUAACGCCGCGUGGGGGAAGAAGACCUUCGGGUUGUAAACCUCUUUUGAUAGAGACGAGUGAGGACGGUAUUUAUCGAAUAAGUCUCGGCUAACUACGUGCCAGCAGCCGCGGUAAGACGUAGGAGGCGAGCGUUAUCCGGAUUCACUGGGCGUAAAGCGCAUGUAGGCGGUUGGGUAAGUCCGCUGUUAAAGCCCCCGGCUCAACUGGGGGAGGUCAGUGGAGACUACCGGACUUGAGGGCAAUAGAGGCACAUGGAACUCCCGGUGUAGCGGUGGAAUGCGUAGAGAUCGGGAAGAACACCCGUGGCGAAGGCGAUGUGCUGGGUUGCCCCUGACGCUGAGAUGCGAAAGUGUGGGGAGCAAACGGG
This 405-nucleotide ribosomal RNA is filed under the name uncultured bacterium. RNAcentral describes it as "bacterial SSU rRNA". It matches the Rfam family "Bacterial small subunit ribosomal RNA", at positions 355 to 776 of the family's 1533-position model. The record is from RNAcentral.